This 371-nucleotide ribosomal RNA is filed under the name uncultured bacterium. RNAcentral describes it as "bacterial SSU rRNA". It matches the Rfam family "Bacterial small subunit ribosomal RNA", at positions 434 to 793 of the family's 1533-position model. The record is from RNAcentral.
CAGUCGUGAGGAAGGCGGGUACGUUAAUAGCGUAUUCGUUUGACGUUAGCGACAGAAGAAAGCACCGGCUAACUCCGUGCCAGCAGCCGCGGUAAUACGGAGGGUGCGAGCGUUAAUCGGAAUUACUGGGCGUAAAGCGCAUGCAGGUGGUUUGUUAAGUCAGAUGUGAAAGACCCGGGGCGUCAACCUCGGAAUAGCAUUUGAAACUAGGCAGACUAGAGUACUGUAGAGGGGGGUAGGAAUUUCAGGUGUAGCGGUGAAAUAGCGUAGAGAUCUGAAGGAAUACCGGUGGCGAAGGCGGCCCCCUCGGACAGAUACUGACACUCAGAUGCGAAAGCGUGGGGAGCAAACAGGAUUAGAUACCCUGGUAG